UGGGAGUCAGAUACUGAGCUGUGCUCUGUCUGUCACUAGCCCUCCCUAUAGCCUCCUGAUCGGGGCGAGCUGAGAGAAAUCCCAGUGGACUGAUACGGGGCAGACAACU
Molecule: non-coding RNA, 109 nt
Organism: Coregonus clupeaformis (lake whitefish)
Lineage: Eukaryota; Metazoa; Chordata; Actinopteri; Salmoniformes; Salmonidae
Product: small Cajal body-specific RNA 8
Exons: 1
Source: RefSeq, a predicted model, not a curated record